UUCAAGUAGAGUUUGAUCCUAGCUCAGGAUGAACGCUGGCGGCGUGGAUAAGGCAUGCAAGUCGAACGGAUAGUACCGUGAAAGUAUUUAAGAAAUCUGAAGUAGCAAUACAGAGGGUCGAUUAAGUGCCGGAUCGGAUUUGCUAUUAGUGGCAAACGAGGUAGUAAUACAUAGGAAUUUCCCCCUAAGUCGUGAACAACUCACCGAAAGGUGUGCUAAUACACGAUGGUCUCUCUGGAGUAAAGAUUUAUCGCUUAGGGAAAAGCCUGUGGGAUAUCAGCUUGUUGGUAGUGUAAUGGACUACCAAGGCUAUGACGUCUAGGGGAGCUGAGAGGCUGACCCCCACCGAUGGGACUGAGACACGGCCCAUACACCUACGGGUGGCUGCAGUCAAGAACCUUCCACAAUGGACGAAAGUCUGAUGGAGCGACGCCGCGUGAUCGAUGAAGCUUUUCGAAGUGUAAAGGUCUUUUAUGAGGGAAGAAGUUUAUUGACUGUACCUCAUGAAUAAGGGGCUCCUAACUCUGUGCCAGCAGGAGCGGUAAUACAGAGGCCCCGAGCGUUAUCCGGAAUCAUUGGGCGUAAAGGGUGCGUAGGUGGCUAUAUUAGUCUUUCGUUAAAUCCAUGGGCCUAACCUGUGGUCUGCGAAGGAAACGGUAUAGCUUGAGAGCGAGAGAGGUGAAUGGAACUCAUAGUGUAGGGGUGAAAUCCGUUGAUAUUAUGGGGAACACCAAAAGCGAAGGCAAUUCACUGGCUCGUUUCUGACACUGAUGCACGAAAGCGUGGGUAGCGAAUGGGAUUAGAUACCCCAGUAGUCCACGCCCUAAACGAUGCACUCUAGCUAUUCGGAGUAUCGACCCUCUGAGUGGCGUAGCUAACGCGUUAAGAGUGCCGCCUGGGAAGUACGGCCGCAAGGCUAAAACUCAAAGGAAUAGACGGGGACUUGCACAAGCAGUGGAUUAUGCGGUUUAAUUCGAUGAUAAACGAAGAACCUCACCCAGGUUUGAAACUUAACUGUAAUCCCGCCGAAAGGCGGGACCCCGCAAGGCAGUUAAGCAGGUGAUGCAUGGCCGUCGUCAGCUCGUGGUUUGAAUUGUUCCCUUAAGUGGGGUAACGAGCGCAACCCUCGUUGUGUGUUAAAUAUGUCACACAAGACUGCUCAGAACUAAGCGCACAAGUGCGCAGGUGCUAGUAAUUAGUUUCUAGUGUCUAGGUAAUUUCCUAGAACCUAGCAACUAGAAUCUAGAACCUGUUUGCUUGCGAAUUUAGUUCUGAGAGGAAGGAGAGGAUGACGCCAGGUCAGCAUGUCCCUUUGACAUCUGGGGCUACACGCAUAAUACAAUCGCUAUUACAACGGGUCGCGACGGGGUAACCCUGAGCCAAUCCUUUAAAAAUAGCGCCAGUUCGGAUUGAGGGCUGCAACUCGCCCUCAUGAAGCCGGAAUUGCUAGUAAUCGCGGGUCAGAUAUACCGCGGUGAAUACGUUCUCAAGUCUUGUACUCACCGCCCGUCAAGUCAAGGGAGCCGGGAGUGCCCGAAGUCUGUGCAUAAGCAUGGCCUAAGGUAAGCUCGGUGACAGGGACUAAGUCGUAACAAGGCACGGCUAGCGGAAGCUGGUCUUGGAAUAAUUCAAUU
Molecule: non-coding RNA, 1634 nt
Organism: Candidatus Nomurabacteria bacterium
Lineage: Bacteria; Candidatus Nomuraibacteriota
Source: Rfam